This is a long non-coding RNA of Andrographis paniculata, 438 nucleotides long. RefSeq lists it as uncharacterized. Lineage: Eukaryota; Viridiplantae; Streptophyta; Magnoliopsida; Lamiales; Acanthaceae. The transcript is spliced from 3 exons. The record is from RefSeq and is a predicted model, not a curated record.
ACAGUCGUAAGAAGCGGUUGGAGGUGAUUUCGGCAGAAAAAAAGUCGAAAGCCUAAUUGAUUGCUAUAUGAAGCGACUGUGAGUUGUUGGAGCUUCAGAUUUUUGAGAUUCUGCUUUUGCAAGAAAUUGAUAUGCCAUCGGUGGAAGAUCAACGAAGUAAGCGACGUCAGUUGGAAGAACACAAGGAACUUGGAGAAUGCAGCUACAGUCGCAAUAUAUUUUGAUCAUAGCAGAAAGAAAUCUCAGCAGGACUUAAAGUGAAUAAAGAUCAGGUUGCUAGUUGUUCCCCGCACCAUUUGUGCUUGGUCCCUCAAGAUCUUUCUAUCAUCAGGCAAGUGCGUUGAAGGAGAAUAAAGAGCUGUGCUGAAAGGUUCAUACAUUACAUGGAACUCCCGGGAGCAGGGCUCCCAGAAGCCAUGAAUUAAUAAUGUUUCAGAA